Molecule: ribosomal RNA, 497 nt
Filed under: uncultured bacterium
Lineage: Bacteria
Description: partial 16S ribosomal RNA
Rfam family: Bacterial small subunit ribosomal RNA
Source: RNAcentral
GAUGAACGCUGGCGGCGUGCCUAAUACAUGCAAGUCGAGCGAACAGACGAGGAGCUUGCUCCUCUGACGUUAGCGGCGGACGGGUGAGUAACACGUGGAUAACCUACCUAUAAGACUGGGAUAAUUUCGGGAAACCGGAGCUAAUACCGGAUAAUAUAUUGAACCGCAUGGUUCAAUAGUGAAAGACGGUUUUGCUGUCACUUAUAGAUGGAUCCGCGCCGCAUUAGCUAGUUGGUAAGGUAACGGCUUACCAAGGCAACGAUGCGUAGCCGACCUGAGAGGGUGAUCGGCCACACUGGAACUGAGACACGGUCCAGACUCCUACGGUAGGCAGCAGUAGGGAAUCUUCCGCAAUGGGCGAAAGCCUGACGGAGCAACGCCGCGUGAGUGAUGAAGGUCUUCGGAUCGUAAAACUCUGUUAUUAGGGAAGAACAAAUGUGUAAGUAACUAUGCACGUCUUGACGGUACCUAAUCAGAAAGCCACGGCUAACUACGUG